This is a long non-coding RNA of Dermacentor andersoni, 834 nucleotides long. RefSeq lists it as uncharacterized. The record is from RefSeq and is a predicted model, not a curated record. NCBI's taxonomy places the organism in Eukaryota, Metazoa, Arthropoda, Arachnida, Ixodida, Ixodidae.
UUUUAUUUAAUUAUUUUUAAUCGUUUUUCUUAGACGCCGUAGUGGCGCUGUCAGCGCAAGUCGCUAUCUGCAAACGCAAAGCCCUAUUCUAAAACUCUUCCCUCCUGCGUGCCCCAACGCUAACACCCGCAAAGCUCUUUGGGGCCCCAAAAUAUUGGGGCCCCUAUUCUAAAACUCAAUUAAAAACAUCAACGCAAUGAGCAGCAGCCCGUGCAUUCUGAGAGUAUGGAAACGCGCCCACGCUGAUCACACGCGGGCAGCCAUUGAAGACGGUUUGCCGCAGCACGCGCCUCGGGCCGGCAAAGAGCUGCCGUUCAGAGCACCGCGACAGCUCCUGGCGCACUGCUGCACCAAGCGAGCGACACACAAGGGAUCGCUCUCGAGCCGGGCUCACCAGCACGGAUCCUCGCAGCGAAUCGAGCCGACGGUGAGAGCAUGAUUACAAAAAGAAGGAUAUGCUGAAGACGGUGCCAAGGUCACAAGACUGUACCGGAACUUUCUGACAUGAUUAUUGAAUGAUUGUCACAAGUGAGAUUGUCACUCAACAGUUGACGAGGAUUUUCUUGAGCUACCUCCUGCCUCCUGAUUCUUGGCUUAUCCUCUUUCGCGGGUGCGAGCCGUGACAGUGCUCCAUUAUCGUCGUCAUCAUCAUCAUCAGCAGCAGCAUAAUCUUCGGUCCCCAUCUUUAGUUUUUUAUUAAACAGUACCGCAGGAAAAAAUUGAUGCGCCGGACGAAGAUAAGUACUCUCGUCGAAUCGUUGGCAUCGCAAUUGGGCUGCCUUAAUUAUCACUCGCUCUCUCUGUUCACUUAAGUCAAGCCAGGUGAUUCUUCCA